CUCCUACGGAGGCAGCAGUGGGAAUUUUGGACAAUGGGCGCAAGCCUGAUCCAGCCAUGCCGCGUGCGGGAAGAAGGCCUUCGGGUUGUAAACCGCUUUUGUCUAGGGAAGAAAAGCUACCGGGCUAAUACCUCGGAGUUAUGACGGUACCUGAAGAAUAAGCACCGGCUAACUACGUGCCAGCCGCCGCGGUAAUAC
RNAcentral lists this ribosomal RNA (198 nucleotides) under uncultured bacterium. RNAcentral's name for it is "partial 16S ribosomal RNA". It matches the Rfam family "Bacterial small subunit ribosomal RNA", at positions 336 to 526 of the family's 1533-position model. The record is from RNAcentral.